ACCUAGCUGGCUCAGUCAGAACAGUGUGGGACUCUUGAUCUAGUAGGGGUCAUGGGUUCAAGCCCCAUGCUGGGUA
This 76-nucleotide transfer RNA is filed under the name Felis catus (domestic cat). It matches the Rfam family "tRNA". From Rfam's summary of the family: Transfer RNA (tRNA) molecules are approximately 80 nucleotides in length. Their secondary structure includes four short double-helical elements and three loops (D, anti-codon, and T loops). Further hydrogen bonds mediate the characteristic L-shaped molecular structure. tRNAs have two regions of fundamental functional importance: the anti-codon, which is responsible for specific mRNA codon recognition, and the 3' end, to which the tRNAs corresponding amino acid is attached (by aminoacyl-tRNA synthetases). tRNAs cope with the degeneracy of the genetic code in two manners: having more than one tRNA (with a specific anti-codon) for a particular amino acid; and 'wobble' base-pairing, i.e. permitting non-standard base-pairing at the 3rd anti-codon position. The record is from Rfam by way of RNAcentral. Lineage: Eukaryota; Metazoa; Chordata; Mammalia; Carnivora; Felidae.